AUCUGGAGUCUUCUGCUGCUGCCGUUGUCUCUCUGUGUCUGUCCACCAGAGGUCACUGUUGCUCCAGAAACAAACUGCAGCCAUGUUGGGGAUCAACAGAUGAUUGGAGACGCUGGAACCAGAGAACACACACGGCUGCUCUCCUUGGCAUGUCUGACAGAGGUCCGCCUCCGGCUCAGUCGCCUGUUGGGUUUAAAGGAGACAAAAUAACAUCAGCAGACGCUCCAACAGGAAUCAUGACGCUCUGGUUCCAUCUUUAACUGCGUCGUUAGAGAGGAGGUCGACUGGUGAGGGAGGAGUGAGAGGAU
Molecule: long non-coding RNA, 308 nt
Organism: Solea senegalensis (Senegalese sole)
Lineage: Eukaryota; Metazoa; Chordata; Actinopteri; Pleuronectiformes; Soleidae
Exons: 4
Source: RefSeq, a predicted model, not a curated record